RNAcentral lists this unclassified non-coding RNA (734 nucleotides) under uncultured Prochlorococcus sp. Its description in RNAcentral is "partial may contain 16S ribosomal RNA, 16S-23S ribosomal RNA intergenic spacer, and 23S ribosomal RNA". The stretch from base 331 to 403 matches the Rfam family "tRNA". The record is from RNAcentral. Lineage: Bacteria; Bacillati; Cyanobacteriota; Cyanophyceae; Synechococcales; Prochlorococcaceae.
CGCCGAAGGUGGGGCUGAUGACUGGGGUGAAGUCGUAACAAGGUAGCCGUACCGGAAGGUGCGGCUGGAUCACCUCCUAACAGGGAGACAAUAAAUUGAUUGUGAUGUCUAAGUUAUUUAUUCUUAGGCCGCAAUCCUGUCACCUUAAGGUCGAUCGGUACCUCAGAUUUCUGAAUCAGUUUUAUAAUUGAUUCUUUGAUUUCAGUUCCUAAACUUGUCUAGGUCACACCCAACAAAGGUUUCUCCUGGGCCAUUAGCUCAGGUGGUUAGAGCGCACCCCUGAUAAGGGUGAGGUCCCUGGUUCAAGUCCAGGAUGGCCCAUUCGUUGUUGGGGGUAUAGCUCAGUUGGUAGAGCGCCUGCUUUGCAAGCAGGAUGUCAGCGGUUCGAGUCCGCUUACCUCCACUGAAAACUAUCCUGAUAACUAAAUUUCUGGAGAAAAAAAUUGUAGAUGUGGCUUAGAUUUGUCUACUUGAAAAGAACCUAGCUUCUUGUCAUCUUUUUAUAGUUGAUAAAAUGCUGGGCUCGCAUGGAUUAUUUCCAUGAGAAUUCAGUAGAACCUUGAAAACUGCAUAGAUUAGAAAGAAUAAAGCAUCUCAUGGAUGCAUAGUUCUGUUUUUAUAAUUUAGCCUUAAAACUAAAUUAUUUAAUUCUAGAAUUCAUGUUUAAUUCUUGAGUAAUAGCCGAGCACAAUUGAUUUUGUGAUUGUAUUUAAGGUCAAGCUACAAAGGGCUCA